Molecule: long non-coding RNA, 743 nt
Organism: Lepidothrix coronata (blue-crowned manakin)
Lineage: Eukaryota; Metazoa; Chordata; Aves; Passeriformes; Pipridae
Exons: 4
Source: RefSeq, a predicted model, not a curated record
UUAAAAAAUUAGAUGUGUGACUUAGAAUAAACAGAAUCCUAUUCUUUUCUCAUUAAGUGUUGUCUUGUCUAUUUGCAGUUUACACAGAGGUUGUUUCCAAGAGAAGGAUGUAAUUUAAAGGAUGGAGACAUCAUCUAUACCAUCCCUUAUCUCUUAACAGCCCAUCAUUUGUGUUAUGGUUGGAUCAGCAGCCAGAUCUCUGCAGCUGUGUGGAGUGGGCAGACAGUUUGACAACCUGAGGAGGAAAACAAGUCAAAAGCACAGAUUGCUGGGGGCUGAAAUUUUCCACUUUCUUGUAUAACAACAUGGAAAUACUGCAGCUGGCACGUGCCACCACGUGCAGACGGAUCAGCAGCAGCACACGGAGACACUGAGCUGGCAAAAAGCAUUUCCUUGGUGUCCACACCUGCAGAGAUCUGUGCACACAGACCUGGCCACCCUCUGCUGUGCAGCUGAAUGCUCCUUCACUGCAGCCUUGCUGUGAAAGCCUCAGCCAAAGCUGCCCCUUUCUCCCCUUGCUCUGAAGCACCAUUACCUUCCUCCUCCUCCUCCUGCACAUCUGCACAGGAUAUUUUUUUGGCCCGAAUAAGAUGAGCACAGGUGGUAACAUAAGGCACAUUGCAUCUAGAUUUGACACCUGGUGCACAUAGGGCUUACAAGUUUUAAUCAGUUUUAUGCAAGUUUUUGGCACUUUGGUUUUCUAUUUUUUUUUAAUUUUUUUUUUUUUAAAACCAGUUCAAUAA